RNAcentral lists this ribosomal RNA (658 nucleotides) under uncultured Orpinomyces. RNAcentral describes it as "eukaryotic LSU rRNA". The stretch from base 246 to 400 matches the Rfam family "5.8S ribosomal RNA". Lineage: Eukaryota; Fungi; Neocallimastigomycota; Neocallimastigomycetes; Neocallimastigales; Neocallimastigaceae. The record is from RNAcentral.
GUUUCCGUAGGUGAACCUGCGGAAGGAUCAUUAAAAAAUAAUCACAGUUUUGUGAUUUUAAUAAUCAUCCUACCCCUUUGUGAAUUUGUUUUGUAAAGAAAAUUUAUGUUGUCUAUCCCUGGUGGUUUUUUGGAAAAGUUGAAAAACUUUUUCGAAUCCCUAGGGACUAGGCUUUCAUAGACCUUUUUUUAAAUUAGACUUUUUGUAUUCAUUUGUCUAAAAUUUAUUUUUAAUAAUUUAAAAACAACUUUUGACAAUGGAUCUCUUGGUUCUCGCAACGAUGAAGAACGCAGCAAAAUGCGAUAAGUAAUGUGAAUUGCAGAAUACGUGAAUCAUCAAAUCUUCGAACGCAUAUUGCACUUUUCUAGUUUACUAGAAAAGUAUGUCUGUUUGAGUAUCAGUAAAAUAUUCUCAUAAAAAACAUUGUUUUUUAUGGUUAUGAGUGUUUUACAACGAUAAACAAGUUGUUUCACUUUAAAUUGAUUUUUAAAAGCCAAUUUGGUUUUAUCUAAUAAAAUUGGAUAAAAUUUUCCCGUAAAAAGGAAUAAACUUUUCAGUUUUAAAAGAUAAAACUUUUAAUUGAGCCUAAUUAAAAGGAAAUUUAACUAAAUAACUUGAUCUCAAAUCAGAUAAGAGUACCCGCUGAACUUAAGCAUAU